GCGGGUGUAGCUCAACUGGCAGAGCACGAGCUUUCCAAGCUUGAUGUUGAGGGUUCGAUUCCCUUCACCCGCU
RNAcentral lists this transfer RNA (73 nucleotides) under Phycisphaerae bacterium. RNAcentral describes it as "tRNA-Gly". It matches the Rfam family "tRNA". From Rfam's summary of the family: Transfer RNA (tRNA) molecules are approximately 80 nucleotides in length. Their secondary structure includes four short double-helical elements and three loops (D, anti-codon, and T loops). Further hydrogen bonds mediate the characteristic L-shaped molecular structure. tRNAs have two regions of fundamental functional importance: the anti-codon, which is responsible for specific mRNA codon recognition, and the 3' end, to which the tRNAs corresponding amino acid is attached (by aminoacyl-tRNA synthetases). tRNAs cope with the degeneracy of the genetic code in two manners: having more than one tRNA (with a specific anti-codon) for a particular amino acid; and 'wobble' base-pairing, i.e. permitting non-standard base-pairing at the 3rd anti-codon position. Lineage: Bacteria; Pseudomonadati; Planctomycetota; Phycisphaerae. The record is from RNAcentral.